RNAcentral lists this unclassified non-coding RNA (647 nucleotides) under Hevea brasiliensis (rubber tree). The record is from RNAcentral. Lineage: Eukaryota; Viridiplantae; Streptophyta; Magnoliopsida; Malpighiales; Euphorbiaceae.
UAAGAAGAGGAAGAUUGUUUUUGCCGAUGAGGCUGGUGGAAAGCUAUGUGAUGUCAAGACUUUUAGGGAUGGCAUGGAUUUUUUUGUGGAGGCUAAGAGUGAGAAAACGGGAACUUUUGAUUAAGUAAGAGAUGAAGAUCUUGCUUGCUGUGCAAUUGUACAUUUAAUUAUGGCGUUCAAAUGCCAAAUUUGAUGCUCAAAGAGAAGGACAAAACGUAUGGGGCUGUUAGGCCUAUGAUCUAGACAUAGUCUGAAGUUAUGCCUGACUGGUGUAUUAGAGGCAAAUGGAGAAAGCUGCUACAGGAUAGGAAGAGUUGCGACCAAUUUUAUCCUCAGGCAAUCCCGGUCUGAUCUUUCAUUGUUCAUUUUUUGUUCUCUUUCUAACCUGGAUAUUGCAUUGAGCUAUGAUGUACACAUUUUCUUAGAAGCAAAUAAAAAUAGCUAUUCAUCCUUGAUGACAUUUAUACAUGCAUCAAGAGGGAAUUCUAACCUUUUACAUUGGAAAUUCCCCUAGCGGCUUCUCCUGAAAAAAUUCCUUCAGUUUUGGUCCGCAUUCGAUGUUUGUCUUGUAUUGUAAUGGUUUUCUCUUUCUUCAAAGGGUAAUCAUUUCAUCCAUAUGCUCCAAUUCAUCAUAAUUGGCAGUUUAG